UCCGAAUUACCUAUACUAUCUCAAUAAUGAAUUUAAGCUUCAUUUAUAAAGUGUAACUUUUUUUAGAA
RNAcentral lists this transfer RNA (68 nucleotides) under Anobiinae sp. GENSP01. RNAcentral describes it as "tRNA-Leu". The record is from RNAcentral. Lineage: Eukaryota; Metazoa; Arthropoda; Insecta; Coleoptera; Ptinidae.